Oncorhynchus keta (chum salmon) is the source of this 560-nucleotide long non-coding RNA. RefSeq lists it as uncharacterized. The transcript has 6 exons. The record is from RefSeq and is a predicted model, not a curated record. Lineage: Eukaryota; Metazoa; Chordata; Actinopteri; Salmoniformes; Salmonidae.
GAUUGGACGAUACAGACAUAUUUGGUUAGGGCAGCGCCUCCCAAACUCGGUCGUGGGACUUCAAAGAAGGGCCCUGUGAGGUCUCUGGCCAGGUCUGGCCAGUUGACACCUACCUGUGAGGUCUCUGGCCAGGUCUGGACGGUUGACACCUACCUGUGAGGUCUCUGGCCAGGUCUGGACAGUUGACACCUACCUGUGAGGUCUCUGGCCAGGUCUGGACGGUUGACACCUACCUGUGAGGUCUCUGGCCAGGUCUGGAUGGUUGACACCUACCUGUGAGGUCUCUGGCCAGGUCUGGACGGUUGACACCUACCUGUGAGGUCUCUGGCCAGGUUUGGACAGUUGACACCUACCUGUGAGGUCUCUGGCCAGGUUUGGACAGUUGACACCUACCUGUGAGGUCUCUGACCAGGUCUGGAUGGUUGACACCUACCUGUGAGGUCUCUGGCCAGGUCUGGACAGUUGACACCUACCUGUGAGGUCUCUGGCCAGGUCUGGAUGGUUGACACCUACCUGUGAGGUCUCUGGCCAGGUCUGGACAGUUGACACCUACCUGUGAG